RNAcentral lists this ribosomal RNA (441 nucleotides) under uncultured bacterium. RNAcentral's name for it is "partial 16S ribosomal RNA". It matches the Rfam family "Bacterial small subunit ribosomal RNA", at positions 338 to 795 of the family's 1533-position model. The record is from RNAcentral.
CCUACGGGAGGCAGCAGUGGGGGAUAUUGCACAAUGGGGGAAACCCUGAUGCAGCGACGCCGCGUGGGUGAAGAAGUAUUUCGGUAUGUAAAGCCCUAUCAGCAGGGAAGAAAACAGACGGUACCUGACUAAGAAGCACCGGCUAACUACGUGCCAGCAGCCGCGGUAAUACGUAGGGGGCGAGCUUUAUCCGGAUUCACUGGGUGUAAGGGGAGCGUAUGCGGUGGUGCAAGCCAUGAGUGAAAGCCCGGGGCUCAACCCCGGAACUGCGGUUGGACUUGAGCGGCGAGAGUGCGGUUGGGGCAGGCGGAAUGCCUGGUGUAGCGGUGAAAUGCGGAGAUAUCAGGCAGAACACCGGCUGCGAAGGCAGCCUACUGGGCCGCGACUGACGUUGAGGCUCGAAAGCGUGGGGAGCGAACAGGAUUAGAUACCCGGGUAGUC